AAUGACUCUCGGCAACGGAUAUCUCGGCUCACGCAUCGAUGAAGAACGUAGCAAAAUGCGAUACUUGGUGUGAAUUGCAGAAUCCCGUGAACCAUCGAGUUUUUGAACGCAAGUUGCGCCCGAAGCCUUUUGGCUGAGGGCACGUCUGCCUGGGCGUCACAC
Molecule: ribosomal RNA, 162 nt
Filed under: Senecio byrnensis
Lineage: Eukaryota; Viridiplantae; Streptophyta; Magnoliopsida; Asterales; Asteraceae
Description: 5.8S ribosomal RNA
Rfam family: 5.8S ribosomal RNA
About the family: 5.8S ribosomal RNA (5.8S rRNA) is a component of the large subunit of the eukaryotic ribosome. It is transcribed by RNA polymerase I as part of the 45S precursor that also contains 18S and 28S rRNA.
Source: RNAcentral